RNAcentral lists this ribosomal RNA (1197 nucleotides) under uncultured organism. RNAcentral's name for it is "bacterial SSU rRNA". It matches the Rfam family "Bacterial small subunit ribosomal RNA", at positions 116 to 1303 of the family's 1533-position model. The record is from RNAcentral.
CGUGGGCAACCUGCCUUUAGGUCUGGGAUAAGCCGCCGAAAGGGGGUCUAAUACCGGAUAACACCUUUCUAUCGCAUGGUAGAAAGUUCAAAGACCGCUUGCGGUCGCCUGAAGAUGGGCCCGCGGCCUAUUAGCUAGUUGGUGAGAUAACAGCCCACCAAGGCUGCGAUGGGUAGCCGUCCUGAGAGGGUGAACGGCCACACUGGGACUGAGAUACGGCCCAGACUCCUACGGGAGGCAGCAGUAGGGAAUAUUGCGCAAUGCCCGAAAGGGUGACGCAGCGACGCCGCGUGGGUGAUGAAGCUUCUUGGAGCGUAAAGCCCUUUCAGAAGGGAAGAACCGCAUGGAGGUGAACCUCCGUGCCUGACGGUACCUUCAGAAGAAGCUCCGGCUAACUCCGUGCCAGCAGCCGCGGUAAUACGGAGGGAGCAAGCGUUGUUCGGAAUCACUGGGCGUAAAGGGCGCGUAGGCGGGCCGGUGAGUCAGGUGUGAAAACCCGGGGCUUAACCCCGGGCCUGCACUUGAUACUAUCGGUCUUGAGUACGAGAGAGGAAAGCGGAAUUCCAGGUGUAGCGGUGAAAUGCGUAGAUAUCUGGGAGAACACCGGUGGCGAAGGCGGCUUUCUGGCUCGAUACUGACGCUGAUGCGCGAAGGCUAGGGGAGCAAACAGGAUUAGAUACCCUGGUAGUCCUAGCGGUAAACGAUGGGCACUAGGUGUUGGAGGACUUACCCCUUCAGUGCCGCAGCUAACGCAUUAAGUGCUCCGCCUGGGGAGUACGAUCGCAAGAUUGAAACUCAAAGGAAUUGACGGGGCCCCGCACAAGCAGUGGAGUAUGUGGUUUAAUUCGAUGCAACGCGAAGAACCUUACCUGGGCUUGACAUCAACUGGAAAGCCAUAGAGAUAUGGCCCCCUCUUCGGAGGUCGGUUGACAGGUGCUGCAUGGCUGUCGUCAGCUCGUGCCGUGAGGUGUUGGGUUAAGUCCCGCAACGAGCGCAACCCCUGUCCAUAGUUACCAGCGGUUCGGCCGGGCACUCUAUGGAGACUGCCUCGGUUAACGAGGAGGAAGGUGGGGAUGACGUCAAGUCCUCAUGGCCCUUACGUCCAGGGCUACACACGUACUACAAUGGCCGGUACAGAGGGUUGCAAUUCCGCGAGGUGGAGCCAAUCCCUAAAGCCGGUCCCAGUUCGGAUUGGAG